This 377-nucleotide unclassified non-coding RNA is filed under the name uncultured Caryophanales bacterium. RNAcentral describes it as "uncultured Bacillales bacterium contains 16S-23S intergenic spacer region". Lineage: Bacteria; Bacillati; Bacillota; Bacilli; Caryophanales. The record is from RNAcentral.
UCCGGCUUUCACCGGCUGUCCCCUUAGAGUGCCCACCCGAAGUGCUGGCAACUAGGGGCAGGGGUUGCGCUCGUUGCGGGACUGAACCCAACAUCUCACGACACGAGCUGACGACAACCAUGCACCACCUGUCUCCGCUGCCCCGAAGGGAAGGUGCAUCUCUGCACCGGUCAGCGGGAUGUCAAGCCCUGGUAAGGUUCUUCGCGUUGCUUCGAAUUAAACCACAUGCUCCACCGCUUGUGCAGGCCCCCGUCAAUUCCUUUGAGUUUCGGUCUUGCGACCGUACUCCCCAGGCGGAGUGCUUAAUGUGUUGACGUCGGCACAGCAGGGGUCGAUACCCGCUACACCAAGCACUCAUCGUUUACGGCGUGGACUAC